This 850-nucleotide ribosomal RNA is filed under the name Microbacteriaceae bacterium. RNAcentral's name for it is "bacterial SSU rRNA". It matches the Rfam family "Bacterial small subunit ribosomal RNA", at positions 20 to 878 of the family's 1533-position model. The record is from RNAcentral. Lineage: Bacteria; Bacillati; Actinomycetota; Actinomycetes; Micrococcales; Microbacteriaceae.
UGGCUCAGGACGAACGCCGGCGGCGUGCUUAACACAUGCAAGUCGAACGAUGAAAGAGGGAGCUUGCUUUCUCUGGAUUAGUGGCGAACGGGUGAGUAACACGUGAGCAAUCUGCCCUUGACUCUGGGAUAAGCGUUGGAAACGACGUCUAAUACCGGAUACGAACUUCAGCCGCAUGGCUAGGGGUUGGAAAGAAUUUCGGUCAAGGAUGAGCUCGCGGCCUAUCAGCUUGUUGGUGAGGUAAUGGCUCACCAAGGCGACGACGGGUAGCCGGCCUGAGAGGGUGACCGGCCACACUGGGACUGAGACACGGCCCAGACUCCUACGGGAGGCAGCAGUGGGGAAUAUUGCACAAUGGGCGCAAGCCUGAUGCAGCAACGCCGCGUGAGGGACGACGGCCUUCGGGUUGUAAACCUCUUUUAGCAGGGAAGAAGCGCAAGUGACGGUACCUGCAGAAAAAGCACCGGCUAACUACGUGCCAGCAGCCGCGGUAAUACGUAGGGUGCAAGCGUUGUCCGGAAUUAUUGGGCGUAAAGAGCUCGUAGGCGGUUUGUCGCGUCUGCUGUGAAAUCCCGAGGCUCAACCUCGGGCCUGCAGUGGGUACGGGCAGACUAGAGUGCGGUAGGGGAGAUUGGAAUUCCUGGUGUAGCGGUGGAAUGCGCAGAUAUCAGGAGGAACACCGAUGGCGAAGGCAGAUCUCUGGGCCGUAACUGACGCUGAGGAGCGAAAGCGUGGGGAGCGAACAGGAUUAGAUACCCUGGUAGUCCACGCCGUAAACGUUGGGAACUAGAUGUGGGGACCAUUCCACGGUCUCCGUGUCGCAGCUAACGCAUUAAGUCCCCGCCUGGGA